RNAcentral lists this ribosomal RNA (688 nucleotides) under Reticulitermes kanmonensis. Its description in RNAcentral is "partial 16S ribosomal RNA". The stretch from base 347 to 509 matches the Rfam family "Archaeal large subunit ribosomal RNA", at positions 1883 to 2090 of the family's 2987-position model. The record is from RNAcentral. Lineage: Eukaryota; Metazoa; Arthropoda; Insecta; Blattodea; Rhinotermitidae.
UUAGGGGUUUCUGGUUUUUCAAGAAAUGAAUUUAAUUCAUACGUCUUAUUUAGAGUUUUAUUAUUUGUUUAUUUAUUUUUAUUUGGCGUUAAGAUUGGGAGGGAUUAGCUUCUUAUUUUAUUUUUAUAAUUUUUUGUUUUGUUUAGUCUUGUGGGUUUUAUAGUGAUUUUCAAUUUGAUUAUGUUAAAAUUUUAUUUGUUUUGUUCUUUUAUUUUUGUUUGUUUAAUUAUUUAUUGAAAUGUAUUCUUUAUCUUUGGUUUAUGGUUAGUAAUUAUUGUAGAAUUAGUAAAUUUGUUGUUAGGUUGUUUUAUUUGUGUUAAUUUUCUUUGAGGAACUAGGCAAAUUUCAUGUCCGCCUGUUUAACAAAAACAUCUUUUCUCGUUAGUUUUUGAAGUAUGGCCUGCCCGCUGACUUUAGUGUUGAAGGGCCGCGGUAUUUUGACCGUGCAAAGGUAGCAUAGUCAUUAGUUCUUUAAUUGUGAUCUGGUAUGAAUGGCUUGACGAGGCAUGGGCUGUCUUAAUUUUUAAUUGUUUAUUGAAUUUGGUCUUUGAGUUAAAAUUCUUAGAUGUUUUUAUGGGACGAGAAGACCCUAUAGAGUUUAACAUUUGUUAUGGUCCCCUUUCUGUUUGUGAGGGUUCAUUGGGCCGUUUAAUAUGUUUUGUUGGGGUGAUGGGAGGGAUUAAUUUAA